CAACGCUCUCUCUCUCUCUUGGCCCAACUCCAGUCGGAACAAAAAAACAGACUGAUCAAGCACAGCCCCAAGAUGCAUUGUGCUUUUCUUACUUUCUUAUUUCAUGUCAAGCCACAUAUUUCUUUGGAGAUGUUGACCCCUAGAACUCUAUUGUGUUAUUCAUCCAGUCAUAUCCAGUAUCAGAAGACCAGAUACUCAUCCUCCUGAGCCAUUUGGCCGUAAUGCUCCGUCAGAUAAAGUUGCACUGGGUCAUGGUUAGCUAAUCCUGGGGGAAACAUAAAAAUACAUUGUUGAAACCUUGAAGGUCUCUCUGUCGCUCUCUCUCUCUCUUUCUCUCUCUCUCAUCGACAGACGCACCGCUUGUAUUCCUCCUAAGGAUUGCUCCAUCGUUUAAUCUGAUCCAUAAUUGAGCCGUAUUGAGAUGUUUUCCUUUUAUCGCCUGUUAACAAGUCACGGUGUUGCAUUCCUCGCAACCCGAGACACUCAGAGAGACAGUCGUAGAGGUGCUGGAAAAGAGGGAGAGAGGCUGGAGGUAGAAGUGAAGGUGCAGGAGAGGGGUGUCUGGGCUCAGUUGAUGCAUGGAGGUCCUUUCUCCAGAGAGGAGUGGGAGUUGAGCAGAGGGGAAGUGGAGAGACAUCUCUGUAAACAGUGGAACCCUUUGAAGAGCUCUCCCCUUCACUGGUGUCCAAGACCUGCUGCCUCUCCCCCUCCACCCUGUCUUGUUGCCUGGUGUUGUUUUAAGGUCUUAAUACUAACCCUGGUUAUCAGACUGAGUGCCAUUGAGAGAUGUUGAGGCUGAAUACAUCCUGAAAGAAUAGUGUUGAUGGACAGCUCUCCCUCUCCACACUGCAAUGACAACAGCAGAAACAAUACACAACCUUUGGUGUUACACACUCAGUCACUCUCUCUCUUAUUUUUACAUUUUAGUAAUUUAGCACAUGCUCUUAUCCAGAGCAACUUACAGUAGUGAGUGCAUACAAUCUUAAUACUUUUUCAUUCUGGUCCCCCAUGGGAAAUGAAUCCACAACCCUGGCAUUGCAAGAGCCAUGCUCUACCAACUGAGCCACACGGGACUUAUCCUCUCCUUCCCUUUUUUAUACUCUAAUUACAUCCAGGUCACCCGUGAUACAAGUCAAUGUUCGACGUCCAUCCACAUCUGACGACGUCGGGAAAUUAUGUGUAAACCGGCCACUAGGAGCAAUAGUGAGCACUGUUACCUUCAAGAAGGUUUUGGUUUUGCUAUGGUGUUGUGUUGUGGACGGGGAUUGGGCGUAAUCAUCUGCCUCUGAUUUCAAAGGUUGCAAGUUCAAAACCAGCAAUGGAAAGUAUUUUUGUUUUUAAGGGUAUCCCAAACUUUCAACCUUACCUUAACCAUUUGGAGUUACUGCCUAACCUAAGAAUUUGGAGUUAAUGCCUGAGGUUAACCGCUAACCUUAAACAUUUGGAGUUAAUGACAAAACCUAACUUUAAACACUUUGAAAUUUGACAUUUGGAACAACUUCUGAAUUUGACGUUUAAGAAACAUGGAUGAAAGUCUAAUUCUGACGUGAGACUGUGGGAGCUGGUAGCUCGAUUGCUCCUUUUCUCCUUUCCUCCCUCUCUCUCUCUCUCUCUCCCUCGCCCUCAUCCAUGCCCAUUCAUAACUGGCUCAAGUUGGCAUAGGGGAAUUCUCUGUAGGUUGUCAUCAGGCCGUCACUAAAGACAAACACAGACACACACACACACACACACAGAGAGUCAGGCAGCCCUCCAGUAUUCCCUCAACAUCCUGCACUCUGCCAUAUCGAAGCCAGUUAAGCGAAUAGCGUUUGGAAACUUCACAGAGAUCCCAAUUCAUCAAGAUGCCAAUCACAAUAAGAACACAGAGGGCUGUAGUAGUUGGACUCAGACACACUGACGAACAUAAUAUGAGAAGAGCGUUACAGCCUCUGGUAUGAAUAACGUUUUUUUUUUUCCCUCAAAUUCUCUCAGAUGAAACAGCAGCAUGACAUGCGUUCUCCUUCAUCUGUUGAGACACGGUGCUGGUAACAUUUGUCCACAUUCUCUGAUCAAAGCCUUGCCAUUUUUCACCCUUUUUUCCCCCUUAACCCCCCCAUCGGAGGACACAAAUAUAUUUUUUGUUUUUUUUACAGCUUUUUUGCUACUUAUACAUGCAUUGUACAUAUAGAUUUUACAUACAUGGUACUUUUAUAUAAAGCAAUCACAUAACAAUAAUACAUUACCGAACAUGAGCUCUUUAAUCCCACCCCUCAGCCACUCUCAGCCCAUCCCACCUAUCACUGCAGACCACCCUCGUUUGGUUUUCAUGUGCCAUAUAUUUUUCAAAUUGUGCUGUGAUGUUUUACAUGGAUUUUGAACAUUUUAAUCACAUAGUAUCCAAAGCCUUGUCAUUGAAUGUGAUGUGUUCCUAUGGACUCAAACUGCCUUGACCAUCACGUUGUUGCUUCAUAUCACUACCAAACACACAGCCAAGUGAACACAGACAAAGUAAUGCAGUGAUUCAUAUGAGGAGUGUACGUUGGGAUAUGACCAGUUAACCAUCCACAGUCCCUGGAAGAUAUCCAUUACUUCAUGCCAGACACAGUCAGAAUGGACUCAAUUAAAGAGGGAAUUUGUCCCAAAUAGCAGCCUAUCGCCUAUAUAGUGCACUAUUUUGGACCAAAAGUAGUGCAUUAUAAAGGGGAUAGG
This 2688-nucleotide long non-coding RNA is filed under the name Salmo salar (Atlantic salmon). Its description in RNAcentral is "lncRNA (ENSSSAG00000100086.1)". The record is from RNAcentral. Lineage: Eukaryota; Metazoa; Chordata; Actinopteri; Salmoniformes; Salmonidae.